GAUGAACGCUAGCUACAGGCUUAACACAUGCAAGUCGAGGGGCAGCAUAGGGUUUGCUUGCAAACUCUGAUGGCGACCGGCGCACGGGUGAGUAACGCGUAUCCAACCUGCCCAUGGCUAGGGAAUAGCCCGUUGAAAAGCGGAUUAAUGCCCUAUGGGGUCCUUUGCAGACAUCUAACGAGGACUAAAGGUUUACCGGCCAUGGAUGGGGAUGCGUCCGAUUAGAUAGUAGGCGGGGUAACGGCCCACCUAGUCAACGAUCAGUAGGGGUUCUGAGAGGAAGGUCCCCCACAUUGGAACUGAGACACGGUCCAAACUCC
This 320-nucleotide ribosomal RNA is filed under the name uncultured Prevotella sp. Its description in RNAcentral is "bacterial SSU rRNA". It matches the Rfam family "Bacterial small subunit ribosomal RNA", at positions 28 to 339 of the family's 1533-position model. The record is from RNAcentral. Lineage: Bacteria; Pseudomonadati; Bacteroidota; Bacteroidia; Bacteroidales; Prevotellaceae.